RNAcentral lists this ribosomal RNA (301 nucleotides) under uncultured bacterium. RNAcentral describes it as "partial 16S ribosomal RNA". It matches the Rfam family "Bacterial small subunit ribosomal RNA", at positions 509 to 807 of the family's 1533-position model. The record is from RNAcentral.
CAGUAGCCGCGGGAAUACGAGGGGGGCAAGCGUUGUUCGGAAUUAUUGGGCGUAAAGGGCGCGUAGGCGGUUUGGCAAGUUUGGUGUGAAAUCUUCGGGCUCAACUCGAAGUCUGCACCGAAAACUGCCGGGCUUGAGUAUGGGAGAGGUGAGUGGAAUUUCCGGUGUAGCGGUGAAAUGCGUAGAUAUCGGAAGGAACACCUGUGGCGAAAGCGGCUCACUGGACCAUUACUGACGCUGAGGCGCGAAAGCUAGGGGAGCAAACAGGAUUAGAUACCCCAGUAGUCCCUGUCUCUUAUAC